Molecule: long non-coding RNA, 363 nt
Filed under: Nicotiana benthamiana
Lineage: Eukaryota; Viridiplantae; Streptophyta; Magnoliopsida; Solanales; Solanaceae
Description: long non-coding RNA (NBEN_LNC038018)
Source: RNAcentral
GUACAUGAUGCAAACAAACGUUCCUACUAUGGAUCUGGCAUGAGGCUGAGUUAUUCUAAUUUCAAAGCCUAGGUACAUGUUCUAGACUAUGUACUCGAGCAGACAAAUCGAGCGGAGGAAGGGGCUACGUACCGGGAACCAAAAGGCCAUCCAACUUAGUAACUUGUCCGAGCCUCUUUCUAUUUCAAGGUAUGACAGUGACAAAAUAAGGAGUCUCGACCGGCGAGCACAUUUCCGAAGAUGGGAAGAGAAGGGUUUCCUAGCAUUUUUAUAUACAAUUCACAUAAUAUCAAAGUGGUAAAAGCAUUUACCACAUUAGGCUCAAACAUGUAAGAAACUCCGAUGAACUAAUUUGGCCGGAAC